AGAGUUUGAUCCUGGCUCAGGAUGAACGCUAGCUACAGGCUUAACACAUGCAAGUCGAGGGGCAGCAUGGUCUUAGCUUGCUAAGGCCGAUGGCGACCGGCGCACGGGUGAGUAACACGUAUCCAACCUGCCGUCUACUCUUGGACAGCCUUCUGAAAGGAAGAUUAAUACAAGAUGGCAUCAUGAGUCCGCAUGUUCACAUGAUUAAAGGUAUUCCGGUAGACGAUGGGGAUGCGUUCCAUUAGAUAGUAGGCGGGGUAACGGCCCACCUAGUCUUCGAUGGAUAGGGGUUCUGAGAGGAAGGUCCCCCACAUUGGAACUGAGACACGGUCCAAACUCCUACGGGAGGCAGCAGUGAGGAAUAUUGGUCAAUGGGCGAGAGCCUGAACCAGCCAAGUAGCGUGAAGGAUGACUGCCCUAUGGGUUGUAAACUUCUUUUAUAAAGGAAUAAAGUCGGGUAUGCAUACCCGUUUGCAUGUACUUUAUGAAUAAGGAUCGGCUAACUCCGUGCCAGCAGCCGCGGUAAUACGGAGGAUCCGAGCGUUAUCCGGAUUUAUUGGGUUUAAAGGGAGCGUAGAUGGAUGUUUAAGUCAGUUGUGAAAGUUUGCGGCUCAACCGUAAAAUUGCAGUUGAUACUGGAUAUCUUGAGUGCAGUUGAGGCAGGCGGAAUUCGUGGUGUAGCGGUGAAAUGCUUAGAUAUCACGAAGAACUCCGAUUGCGAAGGCAGCCUGCUAAGCUGCAACUGACAUUGAGGCUCGAAAGUGUGGGUAUCAAACAGGAUUAGAUACCCUGGUAGUCCACACGGUAAACGAUGAAUACUCGCUGUUUGCGAUAUACAGCAAGCGGCCAAGCGAAAGCGUUAAGUAUUCCACCUGGGGAGUACGCCGGCAACGGUGAAACUCAAAGGAAUUGACGGGGGCCCGCACAAGCGGAGGAACAUGUGGUUUAAUUCGAUGAUACGCGAGGAACCUUACCCGGGCUUAAAUUGCAGAUGAAUUACGGUGAAAGCCGUAAGCCGCAAGGCAUCUGUGAAGGUGCUGCAUGGUUGUCGUCAGCUCGUGCCGUGAGGUGUCGGCUUAAGUGCCAUAACGAGCGCAACCCUUGUUGUCAGCUACUAACAGGUUCUGCUGAGGACUCUGACAAGACUGCCAUCGUAAGAUGUGAGGAAGGUGGGGAUGACGUCAAAUCAGCACGGCCCUUACGUCCGGGGCUACACACGUGUUACAAUGGGGGGUACAGAGGGCCGCUACCACGCGAGUGGAUGCCAAUCCCCAAAACCUCUCUCAGUUCGGACUGGAGUCUGCAACCCGACUCCACGAAGCUGGAUUCGCUAGUAAUCGCGCAUCAGCCACGGCGCGGUGAAUACGUUCCCGGGCCUUGUACACGCCGCCCGUCAAGCCAUGGGAGCCGGGGGUACCUGAAGUGCGUAACCGCGAGGAGCGCCCUAGGGUAAAACUGGUGACUGGGGCUAAGUCGUAACAAGGUA
RNAcentral lists this ribosomal RNA (1486 nucleotides) under metagenome. RNAcentral's name for it is "bacterial SSU rRNA". It matches the Rfam family "Bacterial small subunit ribosomal RNA". The record is from RNAcentral.